UAGAGUUUGAUCAUGGCUCAGGAUGAACGCUAGCGACAGGCUUAACACAUGCAAGUCGAGGGGCAGCGGGGAGGUAGCAAUACUUCCGCCGGCGACCGGCGCACGGGUGAGUAACACGUAUGGAACCUGCCCGUAGCAGGGGGAUAAACGGAAGAAAUUCCGUCUAAUACCGCGUAAUAACUCCGAGAGGCAUCUCAUGGAGUUUAAAGGGUAACACCGGCUACGGAUGGCCAUGCGGCGCAUUAGCUAGUUGGCGGGGUAACGGCCCACCAAGGCGACGAUGCGUAGGGGUUCUGAGAGGAAGGUCCCCCACACUGGUACUGAGACACGGACCAGACUCCUACGGGAGGCAGCAGUGAGGAAUAUUGGUCAAUGGGCGCGAGCCUGAACCAGCCAAGUCGCGUGAGGGAAGACGGUCCUAUGGAUUGUAAACCUCUUUUGUCGGGGAGCAAAAGACGCCACGUGUGGCGUUCCGAGAGUACCCGAAGAAAAAGCAUCGGCUAACUCCGUGCCAGCAGCCGCGGUAAUACGGAGGAUGCGAGCGUUAUCCGGAUUUAUUGGGUUUAAAGGGUGCGCAGGCGGAAGAUCAAGUCAGCGGUAAAAUUGAGAGGCUCAACCUCUUCGAGCCGUUGAAACUGGUUUUCUUGAGUGAGCGAGAAGUAUGCGGAAUGCGUGGUGUAGCGGUGAAAUGCAUAGAUAUCACGCAGAACUCCGAUUGCGAAGGCAGCAUACCGGCGCUCAACUGACGCUCAUGCACGAAAGUGUGGGUAUCGAACAGGAUUAGAUACCCUGGUAGUCCACACAGUAAACGAUGAAUACUAAUUGUUCGGGGAGAAUGAUCCCUGAGUGAUACAGCGAAAGCGUUAAGUAUUCCACCUGGGGAGUACGCCGGCAACGGUGAAACUCAAAGGAAUUGACGGGGGCCCGCACAAGCGGAGGAACAUGUGGUUUAAUUCGAUGAUACGCGAGGAACCUUACCCGGGCUCAAACGACACAGGAAUACUUUUGAAAGGAGGUAGCUCUACGGAGUCUGUGUCGAGGUGCUGCAUGGUUGUCGUCAGCUCGUGCCGUGAGGUGUCGGCUUAAGUGCCAUAACGAGCGCAACCCCCAUCGCCAGUUACCAGCAAGUCAAGUUGGGGACUCUGGCGAGACUGCCGGCGCAAGCUGUGAGGAAGGCGGGGAUGACGUCAAAUCAGCACGGCCCUUACGUCCGGGGCGACACACGUGUUACAAUGGCAGGUACAGAGAGAAGCAAUGCGGCGACGCAAAGCGGAACUUGAAAGCCUGUCUCAGUUCGGAUUGGAGUCUGCAACUCGACUCCAUGAAGCUGGAUUCGCUAGUAAUCGCGCAUCAGCCAUGGCGCGGUGAAUACGUUCCCGGGCCUUGUACACACCGCCCGUCAAGCCAUGGAAGCCGGGAGUGCCUGAAGUGUGCAACCGCAAGGAGCGCCCUAAGGUAAAACUGGUGACUGGGGCUAAGUCGUAACAAGGUAGCCGUAA
Molecule: ribosomal RNA, 1499 nt
Filed under: uncultured bacterium
Lineage: Bacteria
Description: partial 16S ribosomal RNA
Rfam family: Bacterial small subunit ribosomal RNA
Source: RNAcentral